CUUGCACAACACACUGGCCCACUGCCUAGACUACUAAAGCAGUAAGAAAGAUGUCUUCAUUUCUUACAUCAUUAGUCUCAACAGUAAAUCUGCAGGAUGUUUUUUAAUUAGAAGUAAUACAUUUUAAACAGAUAUUUGGAAAACAUUUAAGUCUUUCAUUAUGCAUGUGCAGGAAGUUGCCUUUUUUUGUCAGCAACGAUAAGUCAUGCUGCUUGCACUGAAGCAGCAUGGUGACAGCAUAGAGCUCUGCAAUACAUUUUGCUGCAUGGAACCAUAGCACUUCAUAAGAAAAAAAUAAUGGGACUAUUUGCAAGAAAUAGACCUAUUUGGUGUGAAAAGUGGUAAUCUCUGAAGGAAUAGUGUGUGUGUAUGUGUGUCUCUGUACACACCCAUGUACAAAUGCUAUAGUUACGUAGUCUAUUACAGUCUUGCAAAAUAAGCUGAUACGCUUUAAUUCAUUGUGAAUUUCUGGGCUUAAUGGGGAAACUCCACUCAGAACAUCCUUUCCCUUUAAAAAUAAUAAUAAAUAUCACUUCCUCCAUGAUGAAUGGGAAUCUAACAUGAAUAAGUUCUUAACAUUUGUGUAUUAGAUUACAUUAUUAAUUGUUGCUGUUUUGCAAAAAAAAAAAAAUUAUAAUUAUUUCUGCUUGACUCUUUAAUCACUGGAUUUACCUCUUCUACUAGGUCCGCAAGAACUUAGGGACAGGGACUUGUAAUAAUUCUUUAUUAGGCUACCUGCUACUAAAUUCAUUCAAACUCCAUGGUCUUAAAAGUUUAUAGCCAGACAAAAAAUAGUGUCACCACUAAAGUAUUUCAGCUAACUAUCAGGCCCUCUCUUUUAGUACAAAAUGUAUUGUCACAAGUAUUACUUUAUUUUCAUGAUCUCAGAUCAGCCACCAACUAUUUUAACUUAGCUCUUCACAUACUUUCAAAUAACUGAUAUCCUCAUCAACCAGCGUUAGCAUGUUACAUGGAACGAAGUCAGUCACCUCCAUGUUUGGUAAAAGGAAAAUCUGAUGUUCUUUUCAUUAAACUAAUUCCAUUUGGAUCGGCACCAGAACAACUCUGACCAGAAUUUAGCCUGACAUACUUGGUUGUCAAGGGCACCGUGUGUUUCAGGAGAGGCUAUUACAAUUCAAAAGCAACACAGCAAAAACCUUUUAGUUUAGUUGGAAUUUUACUAGUUGUUAGCACCAAUUUUCAUGCAUUAGAGGCCUGAUGAAAUUGCUGAUGUAAGAAGUGAUAAUUUUCUUGAUGUGAAACUAAUAGGACAUUUUUAAUUUAAUAUUAAAGUAGAGAAUAACUUAGUCUCUGUUGUAGAAGAACAUGCUAAAAUUAAAAAAAAAAAAAGCAGAAUUAACUGGGCAAAUAGCAAAUGCCUAUGAAUCAUGGAAAGGGAAUGUAAACAAUUAAUACUAAUUAGUAUCAGAUUUCAAGAUUAAGUUAAAUGGAGGAAAUGACAUCACUGCUAAGGCCUGUGGCAAACUUCCAAAAUAAUCCUUUUCCUUUCUGUUGUUUGCCCAGGUUUUUUUUGCAGUUGUCUUCUCAGUUUGAUAGUGCUUAUCCUGAAUUUUGAAACAGCAAUUUAAAAACAUCCAUUGCCCGAGCUGUUUGUUGGUUAUCUUUGUCUACCCAGAUCUGGAGGAAUCAGGAUCAAGCAGAAGGAUCAGCACUGCAGUCCAGGUCAUGCGGUGUGUUUUUGCAAGAUCCAGCUAUGAUUGUCUGCCUUGGACCUCUUCCAGCCAAAGAUAAACUUGACUUACACCCUUAAAAUUCAUAAGCCAGGGUCUGCAGUUUGACAUCAGAUGACCAAUAUACAGUCUUCAAUAUUUAUCGCCGGCAGUUGCAGCUGCUUCUGAAGGCAUGUGAAAGGACCUUGUAGUAAAGUUCUUUCUCUGAAUUCUCACUGUUCAUAAAACUAAUCAGAAAACAUGACAGAAUAUUUCACUCUACUCUGCAAUGACUUAGAACGUUCUGAUCUACCAUUCAAAACUCAAUUCUUGAGCUAAUUUUGGCAGGACAGAUAAACUCCUUGUGUCUUAGUUUCCCCAUCCGGAAUAACAGCACCUACCUUUUUCACUGGGGAACUUUAAUUAAUCAGCAACUCUAGACGGCUACAUAGAGCAGAGCAAACAAUCUGGCAUGAGCAGUUUAUUCAGUGAAUUUAGACGGCUUUCAGAUAACCCUCGAGCAGAUGGUGUUGUUAUCAGCUACAGAGGAAAAGAGUUAAAAUCACCCCAGCCUGAAUAUUUCUGCUGUUAUAGUUCACUUUACAGAAUCUUCAGCCCCAAGGAAGUACUUCUCAAAGAUAAGGAACCUUUUCUUUUCAGCUGUCUGAGAACCACCUUCAAAAGACAGCACCCAUGGGACUGCUGGAGCUCUCUGAUUCCCAGGGAGGCAGGUGGAGGAGGCUUCCAUACACAGUUUGACUGAUCAAGGCCCAUUGGGAUCUGUCCAUGCUUCAGAAAAGAUUUUACCUUAACCAGAAAGCCUUUUUUAACCAUCUUGUCUUGGCUGACGCCUUCGGAUAAUGGACAGGCUUUCUUUGACAUCAGGAAACAAAACAUCAUUUUGAAGGAUAACAGAAAGAGAGUCAAGCCAGAAUGAGUUUUACUUUAAAAUGUUCAAGAAUUCUAUCUAUCAUUCAAGGUAACAAUUACAUACCACAUAAAUUCACUACUUGCUAUUCAAGAGAAAAACUGCUUGUUAUCAUUGAGUUUAACUUACUUAUUUCAAAGCAUUGUAUCUCAUUUUACUUUACUUUAUUUUUUCAUUUGUAUUCCCCUGGAGACUACCUUAAGGUUUAUACAAGUUUUCAGAAAGAAAUUAUAUAAGCCAUGUUACGCUAGUCAUUGCCUAGCAGCCACCACAUCUAAACAAUGAGUACCAGGCUAUUGGAUUAUAUUUUGAAAUACAAUUUUCAGCCUUGCAAGUGCCCAGUCACAUAAUGCCUGACAGCUAGUAGCUGGUGUGAUUAUGUGGGCUGUCAAAGACCACCUCUGUUCUAACACAAAAGAUACACCACCUGAUUGCUUAGAGCUAGAUGAUAUAAAGGAUUCUGCUGCUGAGUUAGGACUUUGUCUUUAGUUUCUUAAGUUAGAAACUGGAUUACAUUUCCCUACCUUUCUUUCUUGUCUACAGUGACCCAUCUAACCCUUGAAGUACCUAACGACUUCUGUGGAUUUUAAGUGUUGCAGACUGAUUGUGUGAGAGUUUUAAUGCCCCUGGCAGAGACAGCUGGUAUCUGCUUCUCUGUUUGAAUGUGCUGUGGUGACUGAUUAUGAUGUGCUUAGCGCCAUCUCAUAUUUAAGUGGGUUUUGAGGAAUUAAACUGUUUGUAUUAAAAAGGUAUUUUCAGAAUUCAUAAUGAACCUCUUUGAAGUGCUUCUUGUAGGCUCUGAGUGUAAAAACACCUGAGAAGCUUGGAAAAGAUGCCUGUGCUCAUAUCUAUAUCUGAAACACCAUCAUUUUUCUAAUUUAAACCAGCGACAAUGGUGCCAAACACAACGGACAUAAAGAUGGAAGUUGAUUUUACAGAAAACUUAGCACAACCGGCAUUUUUUUCUUAUCUGUAAGAAACAGAGAAAAUAACCUUUGAUUAGGCCUUCCAGCUUGACCUCUAGUGGAUGAAGUUCUGCUUUUCUGAACAAAAAGUUACAACACUAUCCUCAGGCUGGCUGGAGUCAACAAUGAGAUUUUUCACCAAGGUUCAGUUUCCUUCUUUCCUUCUCCCUGAACUUCCUCUUUUGUCCUUUUCUUUUAGUAGAUGUUGACAAAACUUUCAUCUUUAUUCAGUUUUAGAAUGUAGUGUUUUUUUAAAUGCGAAUAACAGGUGAAAAAAAGUUCUUUAUCACAAUGGGUAAUGCUAAAAAUGCAUUGGGAACAUUCCUAUACUAAUGAAAAGGACAUUCUUGAAAUUGCUAAACGCAAAGCUGCAAAGAGACAGACUCUACACAUCUUAACAUAAUUAUUCCUGGAAUUCCAGAUGUUUAAUAAAAGGCUCAAGGCAAAAGUUAUUUUUCUGUAACAUUUGAAUAACAUUAAAGCAUCAUUUAAAUCAAUGAUUUAGCCAUAUUUACCCAUCUGUAAUUCUUUGGUAGCGUAUGUCAUGUUAGACAAGCUGGAUAUAGGAACAGAAUGCGUGUCCAAUGCUGAGGUAAGUCUUACAUCCAUGAUUUUUCUUAUAAUUUCACCUGGUUUAUUUUCUUUAAAUUAAGCCUAAAUUUUAAUAAGGGAAAUAGUGUUAACUAAGUCAUAAUUUAAGAACUGAAGAAAAAAAAUAUGUUGAAAAAUUAAUUCUCAGUGGCAGCCACCAACGUUCAACAUGACAGAUACUUUUCCUUAAAAAGUCUGUCUUCUGUUUGCUCUAAGAGGUACUGCUAUGCUGUGUUAUAAUCCAACAGUGGCUGUAAACACUGGACAGUUCUGGAAUAAGUCUACUUUCACAGGGUGUUUUUUUUUUUUUUUUAAUGUUAUGUGAUGUCUUCUUUUUCACAUAGAUCAAGUUUGGAAGCAGACCAUUCCACGUUACUACCUUAUCCACAUUCUCUCUCUGGGCAGUUUUUUUUUGUUUGUUUGUUGACCUGUGUAUAGUUCACAUGAAAAAAUGAAUAGUUUCAGAAAAGCCUUAGUCUUGUGCACCUGUGUAAGGCUCUGCAACUGAAUUCUGUUCUGGAAUUCUUUGAAGUUGAUGCUACGGAUGCAGUAAGCUACUUCAGAUUGAUAUUGAUAGUUAAUGAAGGUGAAUAAAUGCAUAGCAAUUGCAUUAAAAAAUCCACUUGCUCAGAAUUUCACUUCAGUGUAGUUGAUUUUUAGCAAAAAGGAAGAUACAGCAUGUCUUAGCUCCUGUAAUUUUCUGAUAUUUUGUCACUAGUUCACUUUUGCAGAAAACUAUGAAAUAAUUUAGAGCAUGCCAUAGAAACAAGCAACCAAACAACAAGAAAAAUAACAUUGCAAUCAAAACAAAAAAAAUACCUCUCCACAUACAAAGGUCUUCUGUUCAAUCCCUUUAAAUUCAGAGCUAAACUUAUAGAACCAAACAACGAGAUUAUUUCUUGUGAGGGAGUUUCUGAAGGACAUCCCAGGAGGUCACUGCUGUACACGUCUGGAUCCUGGAUCCACAGUGAUACAUCAAAGCAAUCAUGCAACAAGUAGUAAAUCACAAUCUGAUGUCCUCACAACCUACACAUUUAAAACAAACAAACAUGUAUUAAAAAAGACAUGCUUGUGCCUUGUUUCAGACACUUGUUGAGUGUCUGUAUAGUUAUACUGGUAUAAUACAUUAUAGGUUAGGUCAUACAAUGUUCACAGGAUGUAUUUUGUUUUCCUUUUCCAUAUUUGUCUACUAGUUUAUAUUCCUAUCUGGAGCACCACCUGCCUGACAAAAUGAAGCAUGUUGCACUACUGUGAAUGGGCUCAACUUGACUUAUAUACCCUUGCUGGUUUAUACUGCUCUGGAGAUGAAAAGCAGCCUUUAGGCUGGGAUUGUGCAAUCAGUCUGGCAUAGCGGAGUCAUGCAGAAUAGACAUAGGCUGAAUUUAAAUGAAAGCUCACAUAGGUAAAUUACAUCACCAAGUAAGUCAGUGCUAAAUGUUACCGAAGCUUCAUAUGGAGUAAGUAUAUAGAGAUGUCAGAGUUCCUCCUUAACUCACUGAUUAAAAAUUGUAUUUCUACAUAAGUAAGUUCAAGCUUUCAACCAACCUUAGGUGACUGCCAGUGCAUUAUCUUCAGUGGAGUUAUAACUAUUGUAACUGACUACACUAAAAAAAGUAUUGGAACAUGAGACUGCAGAAAUACUACCUUCUUCACCGAGACUCACUCAAAGCAAUAUGUAAAUAAUUUAAACCUCUUUGUUUCUGUGUAAGCUUUUAUUAUAGAUUUUCUGGUUUCUAGGGAUCUGGCUCUGGAAUAGCUUCUAACUUCUUGUUCCAGAAACAACAGCACUGCAUAACUUUGUUGCCAGAGUCUUCUCCCUAGAUUUCAUUAAAAUCAGUCAAAUAACAUCCUCUAGGCAUUCUCAGCUCCGUUGUGCUGUGCUGUGUUUUGAAAGGACUGCAGGUAUUUCUGUAUACUUACCAACAUCUAAAAACUUUGUUCCUCACUCUGCCUUCUGAUAUAUCUGCUGAGGAAUUUUAUGGCAUCUCUGUGGAAAGACUUUUGUGUAUUACAUUUCUUAAAAAAAAAUAUAACUUAAUAUUCAUAUAGUCCUUGUGGGAUUAAUGGAUGUGGAUAAAUGGGAAUCUGUGAAAUCAUAACCGCAGAAGAGCAAGCACAAAUUAUAAAACCAUAGGCAUAAUCUGAAGCAUGUGUCCAAAUAGUACCCAGAAAAAUCCUGGACAGAAAUGAGACCUGGUCAUAAACCAGGAAACUUGGGCAGCAGGAACAAUUUAUAAUGGUGGAGACCUCAGAGAAUGUGGUAAAAUCACAGUAGAGUUAAUCAAGAAGAACAAAAAGUACUAGAAAUACUAAAAAAAAGCUACAAUAGUCUCCUUGUUCUGAUUGAUAUAUUUGGAAACAACAAAAAAAAUACUUUAGAUAUUUAUUAUUUAUUACUUAAGUGAUCAAAUUCUGUCAUUAUUUCUGUGCCAAAUUUUCCUUCGCUUGGAAGUUUACUUCUAUCGGUAAGAUUCUGUGGAGCUUUUUUUUUUUAAAAAAAAAAAACAAAUUACUAUCUUUUCAUACUGAAAAUUAAAAUACAUUCGGCCACAGCAGCCCAAACCCUGACCCUUUUCUGCAAAAACUCCAACAGCACUCACCAGAUUCCAGAUUGCUGUGAAGGCAGAGAUGGUUUCUUCUUGGCAAGACGGAACACUUGGAAAUUCAAAAUGACAUUCUACAAAAUUGCACAGAUAUUUUUCAAUUUCAACAUGUGCAUAAACUAUGCUUUGUUUAGGACUAUGGAGUACAGAAGGACUUAUUCAACAUACGUAUGCAUGUGAAAGAACUGGAAACAGCUAAUUUGCAAAAUAUUUACUUCUAGAGGUCAUCUUUGACCUUAAUUUUGAUUUUAACUUUGUAAAUACUAUUAAAAUACUUUUAUUUAAAAUAUUAAUGUAUUAAGAUCAUAUUUUAAAUAUGAUAAUUAUACAAAUAUUAUUAUUAUUAUUCUCUUUCAAGUGUGAAUAUUUAAGGCUGUAUAAAAUAUAUGUGGCUUUCUUCUGGGUACUUUUGUCAUAUCAUUAAUACAUAAAUAAGAAUGGAGGAGGUACAUUUCACAAAGAAUGUUCUAUUGUGAGUUCUUAUGGCAUGUGUCAAGACAUAAUGCUUCUAUGUUGUAUGAAGUUUUACCUGGCUUAGGAUAAUUUAUGAAUCAUCUUUUGUCUAGUUUUCUUUAAAUAAAAAUGAAUAGACACAUAUGCACAGAGUUUUUGGAAGACAGAACCUGAUGCCACAUAUUUGAAGUUUAAAUAGCUCUUUCUAGGAAACUGAGUGAUCAAAAAACUUGAGUCUAAAAUACAAACUUGUGAAGAACUUUCUCUACAAAAUAUUAUCAAUAACUUCAAAUUGCAGAAGCAAUUACCUUCCACCUGUUUUUUUGUUACCCAGCUAUUCCUAAACAUUUAAUGUGAAGAGAAUUUAAGGAUCUGUGAAAGGAGAUGGAAAAUAACUAUCAAUAAUUUUAUCAUGAUUACUUGAGGAAAAAAAUACUGUGAAAGCAUACAGUUGUAAUCCAUGAAGGAUUAUUGUCAUGGCAAAGUCUUCACUCUUAUAUAAGUUUUUCAAAGCUUCAGGCAAACGUUCUGUAACAAACUAACAGGCAGGGAGAAAAUCAGUGAGGAAAUACGUUUAUCUGUAAUUUAUGAUAUUUACUUCAUCUGAGAUUUUGAAGAGAUCAGGGCAAUGGUUCAAAAGAUGCCCAGAAAUUUUGUUCCAAUUUCAGUUCUUCUCGCUUUGAUAAACAAUAUUUUCCUGUUUUCAGUGCAGCAUUAGCUCAGUUUCUCAAGAUAGCUACAGGCUAUCAGUUUCAGCAACAUAAAAUGCUAGACUUAUCUUUAAUUAAAAGGAGGCAAUAGAAUAUGUCCUGAUAGAUUUCAGUUUCCUUAUCAGCAAAAUAUAAAACUAUAUCCAUGUUACUUGCAGGCAACUAGCAUGAGGAUUAUUGAUUUAGCACAGUCAAGGAGUUUCAUAGCGCAUUAUUUUGUAAGCAUUUCACAUGUUCCUUAUAAAAUAUAUAUAUAUAAGGGGCAUCAAAGAACAGCUCAUUCCUGAAGGAAAGUAGAAGGACUUUGUCUCAUCAGGGCUGCUUGAGGAUGACAUGAGCCUGCCCUCUUCUGUCACCUCAAAGUGGAGGAAGUCCAGUAAUCCAAAUCUAAAGAAUGUCAAGCUAAAGAGCUGCCUAAAACAAGGAAAUUUACUUUCCUUAAAUGUCUCUAUCCUACAUAAACAGAAAGAUAGCGUAAAUAAAUUCUUUCCAUAUAACAUUCUUCAAGCCCUUAGUGCCAUUUAAACUUUGACUUUUUCAAUUUGCAUCCCAUACUUGUAACGCUAAAGAUAAUACAGACAUACAGUACCCAAACAAGUGCCAAGCCAUACUGAAUACUGUGUCAAGAGCUGCACUCAAUGUCAUUAAAAUCUUCCCACUUCACGAAUCGCUUCAGUUUAUCUUCUAAGAAAAGUAGUAUCUGUAAUAAAGGUUUUGGUACACAAACCAACAUUAGCAGAGCUGUACUUUCAGUAUCUUCUAUAUCAUUUCAUGUAAAUACCUCCUCAUAGUAAGAACAAUUUCCCUUUAUAUUUAUCCUCAUUAUUUUUAUAUUACUAUUGUUUGUAUGAGUGUGUAUAAGAUUUGCUCCUUUGAUAACCAUGCCCAUGCACCUGAAAAUAAUGCCUGUUAAAAAGACAGUGCCCAUUUAGACUCAUGGCUAUACUAAAAAAAAAAAA
This is a long non-coding RNA of Numida meleagris (helmeted guineafowl), 8879 nucleotides long. RefSeq lists it as uncharacterized. The transcript has 2 exons. The record is from RefSeq and is a predicted model, not a curated record. NCBI's taxonomy places the organism in Eukaryota, Metazoa, Chordata, Aves, Galliformes, Numididae.